GACGAACGCUGGCGGCGUGCUUAACACAUGCAAGUCGAACGGUAAGGCCCUUCGGGGUACACGAGUGGCGAACGGGUGAGUAACACGUGGGUGAUCUGCCCUGCACUUCGGGAUAAACCUGGGAAACUGGGUCUAAUACCGGAUAGGACCACUGCCUGCAUGGGUGGUGGUGGAAAGCUUUUGCGGUGUGGGAUGGGCCCGCGGCCUAUCAGCUUGUUGGUGGGGUGAUGGCCUACCAAGGCGACGACGGGUAGCCGGCCUGGGAGGGUGACCGGCCAGACUGGGACUGAGAUACGGCCCAGACUCCUACGGGAGGCAGCAGUGGGGAAUAUUGCACAGUGGGCGCAAGCCUGAUGCAGCGACGCCGCGUGAGGGAUGACGGCCUUCGGGUUGUAAACCUCUUUCAGCACCGACGAAGCGCAAGUGACGGUAGGUGCAGAAGAAGGACCGGCCAACUACGUGCCAGCCGCCGCCGUAA
This 478-nucleotide ribosomal RNA is filed under the name uncultured bacterium. RNAcentral describes it as "partial 16S ribosomal RNA". It matches the Rfam family "Bacterial small subunit ribosomal RNA", at positions 28 to 523 of the family's 1533-position model. The record is from RNAcentral.